GAGUUUGAUCAUGGCUCAGAUUGAACGCUGGCGGCAUGCCUUACACAUGCAAGUCGAACGGCAGCACGGGAGCUUGCUCCUGGUGGCGAGUGGCGAACGGGUGAGUAAUGCAUCGGAACGUAUCCUGGAGUGGGGGAUAACGUAGCGAAAGUUACGCUAAUACCGCGUAUUCUGUGAGCAGGAAAGCGGGGGACCUUCGGGCCUCGCGCUCCUGGAGCGGCCGAUGUCGGAUUAGCUAGUUGGUGAGGUAAAGGCGUCACCAAGGCGACGAUCCGUAGCAGGUCUGAGAGGAUGAUCUGCCACACUGGAACUGAGACACGGUCCAGACUCCUACGGGAGGCAGCAGUGGGG
This 351-nucleotide ribosomal RNA is filed under the name bacterium enrichment culture clone ALO1_GLFRUDD03FQARC. RNAcentral's name for it is "bacterial SSU rRNA". It matches the Rfam family "Bacterial small subunit ribosomal RNA", at positions 9 to 359 of the family's 1533-position model. The record is from RNAcentral.